This 114-nucleotide ribosomal RNA is filed under the name Citrobacter freundii. The record is from RNAcentral. RNAcentral also lists the same sequence under 5 other names. Lineage: Bacteria; Pseudomonadati; Pseudomonadota; Gammaproteobacteria; Enterobacterales; Enterobacteriaceae.
UCUGGCGGCUGUAGCGCGGUGGUCCCACCUGACCCCAUGCCGAACUCAGAAGUGAAACGCCGUAGCGCCGAUGGUAGUGUGGGGUCUCCCCAUGCGAGAGUAGGGAACUGCCAG